UCUCAAACUAGGACCGAGUCUAACUUGCGACCGCCGUCCGGAUUGUGUACGUUCAGCUUGCCAUUGUAAAGACCGAACGAUCUUCUACUGCUCACCGCCUGCCCACUCAUUACGAACCCUUGAACGGAAACGCUCCCCCUAUUGUCAACCUUUGCUGACGAUUAUGGCGUAUUACAGAAGCCUGGUUUGCCCCGAAGCCGAGGCCGCGUUUCUCUCCGGGUUCACUCUAAUCGAUCAACCAUUCCAUUGCCGAAUGGUUCCGCUGCUAGAGAUCGACAAGACUCUCCUUCUAGUCGGUGUGACCCUGACUCUGUGCCGGGUCUGGGGAUGCCCUCCGUCGUCACCCCUUAUAACGUGUUACCCCCUUUGGGACUACGUCGGUACGGCGCACACACUUCUUCCGGAAGCCCAACAUUUCGUGAAAGUCAACACUCCUUUUCAAUCAUCAAUUAUGGACGAUCGGCACUGCAAUUGUUGUCUUCUUCGUGGCCGAUUGAGGCACGGUCGUCGGCGCCAUUAUGCCUCCCACGCUCGCAAUUAGCCUUAAUGACCCGCAUUUCGCGUGCGUCCGCCAAACAAAUCGAUCUACACUUUCGGGGCCCGAGUUGGACCCUACCAGUAAAUCUUGACCGUCUGAUCUCAGAACUCUCCCCUCACCUUAAGGUCCACAUCGCCACUUUACGCAUCUAUAGACCUCCUUGUAGUCACCGCUUCCGCUGAGGGACCGGGUUCCUGACUGCGAGUACACGCUUUCACACCCAUCGCUUGUCCUAAUCUAUGGGACCAUCAGGUGUGGCAUUGCGACAGAUGAUCGACACACACAGAAAAUCUGCACGCAUCGCUCGAUUGCGCGAUUCAUCUGGCGGACCCCUCAUGCCGGCGUUCCAUUUUGAGUUACUAACUGCCCCGCGUGUCGCCAACUGUACACCAAAUUAAGCCACGUUGCGCUUCUUGGAAUGGAUGUGAACUGUACGACUCUUCAAUGAUCUCUAUCAAAGCACGGAAGCCCUUGAGUCUGUGUCCACGACGUACCGACAGCAGUCGAGCACAGCACUCUACAACCCAAUUCAGGGCGUUGCUCGCGUUGGGAACAGGAAUCAACGGUCGGAAUUCAACCCGUGAGAUUCCUCUGACGGCCACUGUUUGGCCUCCUUCCACCCCUGCUGCAGUUCAGUAGUACCGGGAAUGCACAUCCCGAUGUGUGCACGAUGUUACCGUAAAUGUCUCCCUUCGCUCUGUCACUACACCUCGCCUGGGGAAUUUCUUACAGCAUCAGGCCUAACCUCAGACGUUGAGCUGAGGUACUUCAGCCUUAGCGAUCAUUAGCGUCCAGUCUUAUGACGCCACUUAUGCAAGGGCCCGGAACAUGUGUGGCGGGCAGUGUGGUACCCUCACCCUACGUUUUCUUCAUCAAUCAGAUUGGAAGCCCUCCUGCUAAUGGUGAAACACAAAGUACUGACCCCACUUCAGCAUUGUUCCAUUUGGU
Molecule: ribosomal RNA, 1486 nt
Filed under: uncultured Alteromonas sp.
Lineage: Bacteria; Pseudomonadati; Pseudomonadota; Gammaproteobacteria; Alteromonadales; Alteromonadaceae
Description: partial 16S ribosomal RNA
Source: RNAcentral